GCACGUAUAGUAUAGUUGGAUAGUACAAUGAUUUCCUAAGUCAUGAGCCUCAGUUCGAAUCUGAGUAUGUGCA
This 73-nucleotide transfer RNA is filed under the name Streptomyces tamarix. Its description in RNAcentral is "tRNA-Arg". It matches the Rfam family "tRNA". Rfam says of the family: Transfer RNA (tRNA) molecules are approximately 80 nucleotides in length. Lineage: Bacteria; Bacillati; Actinomycetota; Actinomycetes; Kitasatosporales; Streptomycetaceae. The record is from RNAcentral.